Molecule: ribosomal RNA, 497 nt
Filed under: uncultured bacterium
Lineage: Bacteria
Description: partial 16S ribosomal RNA
Rfam family: Bacterial small subunit ribosomal RNA
Source: RNAcentral
GAUGAACGCUGGCGGCGUGCCUAAUACAUGCAAGUCGAGCGAACGGACGCGAAGCUUGCUUCUCUGACGUUAGCGGCGGACGGGUGAGUAACACGUGGAUAACCUACCUAUAAGACUGGGAUAACUUCGGGAAACCGUAGCUAAUACCGGAUAAUAUUUUGAACCGCAUGGUUCAAUAGUGAAAGACGGUCUUGCUGUCACUUAUAGAUGGAUCCGGGCUGCAUUAGAUAGUUGGUAAGGUAACGGCUUACCAAGGCGACGAUGCAUAGCCGAACUGAGAGGGGGAUCGGCCACAUGGGAACGGAGACACGGUCAAGACGCCUACGGUAGGCAGCAGUAGGGAAUCUGCCGCAAAGGGCGAAAGCCUGACGGAGUAACGCCGCGUGAGUGAUGAAGGUCCUCGGAGCGUAAAACUCGGUUAUGAGGGAAGAACAUAUGUGUAAGUAACUGUGCACAUCGUGACGGUACCGAAUCAGAAAGCCACGGCUAACUACGUG